RNAcentral lists this ribosomal RNA (201 nucleotides) under uncultured bacterium. RNAcentral describes it as "partial 16S ribosomal RNA". It matches the Rfam family "Bacterial small subunit ribosomal RNA", at positions 1294 to 1500 of the family's 1533-position model. The record is from RNAcentral.
CGGAUUGGAGUCUGCAACCCGACUCCAUGAAGCUGGAUUCGCUAGUAAUCGCGCAUCAGCCACGGCGCGGUGAAUACGUUCCCGGGCCUUGUACACACCGCCCGUCAAGCCAUGGGAGUCGGGAGUGCCUGAAGUUCGUGACCGUCACAGGAGCGACCUAAGGCAAGACCGAUGACUGGGGCUAAGUCGUAACAAGGUACC